GGUUUUAUAUUUUAUUGUUAAAAAUUUUAAAUUGCAAAUUUAAAGAUGGUUGAAUUACCUAAAACUU
RNAcentral lists this transfer RNA (67 nucleotides) under Japanagallia curvipenis. RNAcentral describes it as "tRNA-Cys". It matches the Rfam family "tRNA". From Rfam's summary of the family: Transfer RNA (tRNA) molecules are approximately 80 nucleotides in length. Their secondary structure includes four short double-helical elements and three loops (D, anti-codon, and T loops). Further hydrogen bonds mediate the characteristic L-shaped molecular structure. tRNAs have two regions of fundamental functional importance: the anti-codon, which is responsible for specific mRNA codon recognition, and the 3' end, to which the tRNAs corresponding amino acid is attached (by aminoacyl-tRNA synthetases). tRNAs cope with the degeneracy of the genetic code in two manners: having more than one tRNA (with a specific anti-codon) for a particular amino acid; and 'wobble' base-pairing, i.e. permitting non-standard base-pairing at the 3rd anti-codon position. The record is from RNAcentral. Lineage: Eukaryota; Metazoa; Arthropoda; Insecta; Hemiptera; Cicadellidae.